UACGUAGGCAGCAAGCGUUGUUCGGAGUUACUGGGCGUAAAGGGUGCGUAGGCGGCUUUUUAAGUUUGGUGUGGAAUCUCCCGGCUCAACUGGGAGGGUGCGCCGAAUACUGAGAAGCUAGAGUGUGGGAGAGGAAAGUGGAAUUCCUGGUGUAGCGGUGAAAUGCGUAGAUAUCAGGAGGAACACCGGUGGCGAAGGCGGAUCUCUGGGCCUUACCUGACGCUGAGGCGCGAAAGCUAGGGGAGCGAACAGG
RNAcentral lists this ribosomal RNA (253 nucleotides) under uncultured bacterium. Its description in RNAcentral is "partial 16S ribosomal RNA". It matches the Rfam family "Bacterial small subunit ribosomal RNA", at positions 524 to 776 of the family's 1533-position model. The record is from RNAcentral.